AUCCCCCAGAGUCCUUAUCCCUCAGACCUAAAUAUUGGUCUAAGUGGCUACAAAAAAGUAGGAAAACUCAAACUAAAAUAGACUUGGAAUCUUUAGUGACAUACAAGUGCACUUCAAACAUAC
Molecule: small nucleolar RNA, 123 nt
Filed under: Echinops telfairi (small Madagascar hedgehog)
Lineage: Eukaryota; Metazoa; Chordata; Mammalia; Afrosoricida; Tenrecidae
Description: Small nucleolar RNA SNORA61 (ENSETEG00000025161.1)
Source: RNAcentral